Molecule: ribosomal RNA, 253 nt
Filed under: uncultured bacterium
Lineage: Bacteria
Description: partial 16S ribosomal RNA
Rfam family: Bacterial small subunit ribosomal RNA
Source: RNAcentral
UACGUAGGGGGCAAGCGUUGUCCGGAAUCAUUGGGCGUAAAGCGCGUGUAGGCGGCUUGGUAAGUCUGCUCUGAAAGCCCGGGGCUCAACCCCGGGAGGCGGGUGGAUACUGUCAAGCUCGAGUCCGGAAGAGGAGUGUGGAAUUCCACGUGUAGCAGUGAAAUGCGUAGAGAUGUGGAGGAACACCGAUGGCGAAGGCAGCCCCCUGGGUCAAGAUUGACGCUCAUGCACGAAAGCGUGGGGAGCAAACAGG